GUAGGUGGCAAGCGUUGUCCGGAAUUAUUGGGCGUAAAGCGCGCGCAGGCGGGGUCCUUUAAGUCUGAUGUGAAAAGCCCACGGGCUCAACCGUGGAGGGUCAUUGGAAACUGGGGGACUUGAGUACAGAAGAGGAAAGCGGAAUUCCAAGCGUAGCGGUGAAAUGCGUAGAGAUUUGGAGGAACACCAGUGGCGAAGGCGGCUUUCUGGUCUGUAACUGACGCUGAGGCGCGAAAGCGUGGGGAGCAAACAGGAUUAGAUACCCUGGUAGUCCACGCCGUAAACGAUGAGUGCUAAGUGUUAGGGGGUUUCCGCCCCUUAGUGCUGCAGCUAACGCAUUAAGCACUCCGCCUGGGGAGUACGGCCGCAAAGGCUG
This 376-nucleotide ribosomal RNA is filed under the name uncultured organism. Its description in RNAcentral is "partial 16S ribosomal RNA". It matches the Rfam family "Bacterial small subunit ribosomal RNA", at positions 527 to 896 of the family's 1533-position model. The record is from RNAcentral.